Molecule: long non-coding RNA, 692 nt
Organism: Alligator mississippiensis (American alligator)
Lineage: Eukaryota; Metazoa; Chordata; Crocodylia; Alligatoridae
Exons: 2
Source: RefSeq, a predicted model, not a curated record
UUGAGCCUUGUCAGUCAAGGAAUCAAAAUGUCUUCUAAACGUUCCAUUCGGAGAGGAGUUAUGAAAUCUGCAUAGCAGCACGCACAACCUUUGCUAGUGGGCAAAAUGCUGAAAUCUCGCCAGUGAACUACAAAUGACAUGACGACUUCCUAAUCAAAGGCCACAUGACAACAGCAUUUUUUUUAAAAUCACUGCUCUCCUGCUCAAACUGUCCCAACCAGCUGAUUUAGUUUAUUGAGACUACCUGGACCAUUUUAGAGGGAAAAAGUCUGUGAACCCAAAAAAGAAGCCUAGCAGAGUCAAUAAUCUCUUCAAACUUGACUCUGGAAGCUGCCAAAUCUUUUCUGCUGGAUACAACGAACAUUGAGGUGCACGUUAAUAAAUUUGGUUUUUCUAUGGAUACACAGCUGUGCUCCCUUGAACUUCUCCCUACCAUAACUGGUUAAGAAUGAUACUCUUUGGGUAGAAAUUCUGUGUUCUUCCCUCUCUUUUUCCUAAUCUAUUAGUAUUUACCUGCAUGCAGUUGGUGAAAGCAAAUAUUAAGCCCUACCUGUUCCAAGCAGGAGACUUUACCACACCUGCAGCUCUCUUGUGUAAUAUGAAUUUUCAUUUCUACCUAGAAGAAGUUUUACAAUCUUUAUAAUCUCCUGUGCCUGAAAGCUUAAAAUUAAAGAAUUUUUUUUUUGCAAAUA